Molecule: ribosomal RNA, 344 nt
Filed under: uncultured Verrucomicrobiota bacterium
Lineage: Bacteria; Pseudomonadati; Verrucomicrobiota
Description: bacterial SSU rRNA
Rfam family: Bacterial small subunit ribosomal RNA
Source: RNAcentral
AACGAACGCUGGCGGCGUGGAUAAGACAUGCAAGUCGAGCGAGACAUUUCGGGUAGCAAUAUUCGGAAUGUUUAGCGGCGAAAGGGUGCGUAACACGUGGGUAAUUUGCCAUAAAGUUGGGGAUAACUCGCUGAAAGGCGAGCUAAUACCGGAUGUGGUUGUUUGAAAGCAUUUUCGGACAACUAAAGCUGGGGAUCGUAAGACCUGGCGCUUUAUGAUAAGCCCGCGGCCUAUCAGCUAGUUGGUGAGGUAACGGCUCACCAAGGCUAAGACGGGUAGCUGGUCUGAGAGGACGACCAGCCACACUGGAACUGAGACACGGUCCAGACACCUACGGGUGGCAG